UACGAGCGGCCCAAACGUUAUUCGGAAUUACUGGGCUUAAAGAGUUCGUAGGCGGCGCAGAAAGUAGGGUGUGAAAGCCCUCGGCUCAACCGAGGAAUUGCGCUCUAAACUACUGUGCUCGAGGAAUCUAGAGGUGAGCGGAACUGAUGGUGGAGCGGUGAAAUGCGUUGAUAUCAUCAGGAACACCGGAGGCGAAGGCGGCUCACUGGGGAUUUUCUGACGCUGAGGAACGAAAGCCAGGGGAGCGAACGGG
This 253-nucleotide ribosomal RNA is filed under the name uncultured bacterium. Its description in RNAcentral is "partial 16S ribosomal RNA". It matches the Rfam family "Bacterial small subunit ribosomal RNA", at positions 524 to 776 of the family's 1533-position model. The record is from RNAcentral.